UACGAAGGGGGCUAGCGUUGCUCGGAAUCACUGGGCGUAAAGCGCACGCAGGCGGCUUGUUAAGUCAGGGGUGAAAUCCUGGAGCUCAACUCCAGAACUGCCUUUGAUACUGGCGAGCUUGAGUUCGGGAGAGGUGAGUGGAACUGCGAGUGUAGAGGUGAAAUUCGUAGAUAUUCGCAAGAACACCAGUGGCGAAGGCGGCUCACUGGCCCGAUACUGACGCUGAGGUGCGAAAGCGUGGGGAGCAAACAGG
RNAcentral lists this ribosomal RNA (253 nucleotides) under uncultured bacterium. RNAcentral describes it as "partial 16S ribosomal RNA". It matches the Rfam family "Bacterial small subunit ribosomal RNA", at positions 524 to 776 of the family's 1533-position model. The record is from RNAcentral.